Molecule: ribosomal RNA, 170 nt
Filed under: uncultured Enterobacteriaceae bacterium
Lineage: Bacteria; Pseudomonadati; Pseudomonadota; Gammaproteobacteria; Enterobacterales; Enterobacteriaceae
Description: partial 16S ribosomal RNA
Rfam family: Bacterial small subunit ribosomal RNA
Source: RNAcentral
CUACACACGUGCUACAAUGGCGCAUACAAAGAGAAGCGACCUCGCGAGAGCAAGCGGACCUACAUAAAGUGCGUCGUAGUCCGGAUUGGAGUCUGCAACUCGACUCCAUGAAGUCGGAAUCGCUAGUAAUCGUGGAUCAGAAUGCCACGGUGAAUACGUUCCCGGGCCUU